UGAGUGAGACCUGCCUUCUCUCCGG
This 25-nucleotide non-coding RNA is filed under the name Mus musculus (house mouse). Lineage: Eukaryota; Metazoa; Chordata; Mammalia; Rodentia; Muridae. The record is from RNAcentral.